This 254-nucleotide ribosomal RNA is filed under the name uncultured bacterium. RNAcentral's name for it is "partial 16S ribosomal RNA". It matches the Rfam family "Bacterial small subunit ribosomal RNA", at positions 524 to 776 of the family's 1533-position model. The record is from RNAcentral.
UACGAAGGGGGGCUAGCGUUGCUCGGAAUCACUGGGCGUAAAGGGUGCGUAGGCGGGUCUUUAAGUCAGGGGUGAAAUCCUGGAGCUCAACUCCAGAACUGCCUUUGAUACUGAGGAUCUUGAGUUCGGGAGAGGUGAGUGGAACUGCGAGUGUAGAGGUGAAAUUCGUAGAUAUUCGCAAGAACACCAGUGGCGAAGGUGGCUCACUGGCCCGAUACUGACGCUGAGGCACGAAAGCGUGGGGAGCAAACAGG